RNAcentral lists this ribosomal RNA (495 nucleotides) under uncultured bacterium. RNAcentral's name for it is "partial 16S ribosomal RNA". It matches the Rfam family "Bacterial small subunit ribosomal RNA", at positions 30 to 507 of the family's 1533-position model. The record is from RNAcentral.
UGAACGCUGGCGGCGUGCCUCAUACAUGCAAGUCGAGCGAACAGAUGAGGAGCUUGCUCCUCUGACGUUAGCGGCGGACGGGUGAGUAACACGUGGAUAACCUACCUAUAAGACUGGGAUAACUUCGGGAAACCGGAGCUAAUACCGGAUAAUAUAUUGAACCGCAUGGUUCAAUAGUGAAAGACGGUUUUGCUGUCACUUAUAGAUGGAUCCGCGCCGCAUUAGCUAGUUGGUAAGGUAACGGCUUACCAAGGCAACGAUGCGUAGCCGACCUGAGAGGGUGAUCGGCCACACUGGAACUGAGACACGGUCCAGACUCCUACGGGAGGCAGCAGUAGGGAAUCUUCCGCAAUGGGCGAAAGCCUGACGGAGCAACGCCGCGUGAGUGAUGAAGGUCUUCGGAUCGUAAAACUCUGUUAUUAGGGAAGAACAAAUGUGUAAGUAACUAUGCACGUCUUGACGGUACCUAAUCAGAAAGCCACGGCUAACUACGUG